UACGUAGGGUGCGAGCGUUGUCCGGAAUUAUUGGGCGUAAAGGGCGCGUAGGCGGUUUGGACAGUCAGAUGUGAAAUUCCCGGGCUCAACCUGGGGGGCUGCACUUGAUACGUAUGGACUGGAGUGGGGAAGAGGGUCGUGGAAUUCCCAGUGUAGAGGUGAAAUUCGUAGAUAUCGGGAGGAACACCAGUGGCGAAGGCGGCGAUCUGGGAAGAUACUGACGCUGAGGCACGAAAGCUAGGGUAGCGAACGGG
This 254-nucleotide ribosomal RNA is filed under the name uncultured bacterium. RNAcentral's name for it is "partial 16S ribosomal RNA". It matches the Rfam family "Bacterial small subunit ribosomal RNA", at positions 524 to 776 of the family's 1533-position model. The record is from RNAcentral.